Molecule: ribosomal RNA, 425 nt
Filed under: uncultured bacterium
Lineage: Bacteria
Description: partial 16S ribosomal RNA
Rfam family: Bacterial small subunit ribosomal RNA
Source: RNAcentral
GUGGGGAAUCUUGCGCAAUGGGCGAAAGCCUGACGCAGCCAUGCCGCGUGAAUGAUGAAGGUCUUAGGAUUGUAAAAUUCUUUCACCGGGGACGAUAAUGACGGUACCCGGAGAAGAAGCUCCGGCUAACUUCGUGCCAGCAGCCGCGGUAAUACGAAGGGGGCUAGCGUUGCUCGGAAUUACUGGGCGUAAAGGGCGCGUAGGCGGACAGCUUAGUCAGAGGUGAAAGCCCAGGGCUCAACCUUGGAAUUGCCUUUGAUACUGGCUGUCUUGAGUUUGGGAGAGGUGAAUGGAACUCCGAGUGUAGAGGUGAAAUUCGUAGAUAUUCGGAAGAACACCAGUGGCGAAGGCGACUCACUGGCCCAAUACUGACGCUGAGGCGCGAAAGCGUGGGGAGCAAACAGGAUUAGAAACCCCGGUAGUCC